GAUGAACGCUGGCGGCGUGCCUAAUACAUGCAAGUCGAGUGAACGGACGAGAAGCUUGCUUCUCUGAUGUUAGCGGCGGACGGGUGAGUAACACGUGGAUAACCCACCUAUAAGACUGGGAUAACUUCGGGAAACCGGAGCUAAUACCGGAUAAUAUUUUGAACCGCAUGGUUCAAAAGUGAAAGACGGUCUUGCUGUCACUUAUAGAUGGAUCCGCGCUGCAUUAGCUAGUUGGUAAGGUAACGGCUUACCAAGGCAACGAUGCAUAGCCGACCUGAGAGGGUGAUCGGCCACACUGGAACUGAGACACGGUCCAGACUCCUACGGGAGGCAGCAGUAGGGAAUCUUCCGCAAUGGGCGAAAGCCUGACGGAGCAACGCCGCGUGAGUGAUGAAGGUCUUCGGAUCGUAAAACUCUGUUAUUAGGGAAGAACAUAUGUGUAAGUAACUGUGCACAUCUUGACGGUACCUAGUCAGAAAGCCACGGCUAACUACGUG
RNAcentral lists this ribosomal RNA (497 nucleotides) under uncultured bacterium. RNAcentral describes it as "partial 16S ribosomal RNA". It matches the Rfam family "Bacterial small subunit ribosomal RNA", at positions 28 to 507 of the family's 1533-position model. The record is from RNAcentral.